AACCGGGAUUGCCUCAGUAACGGCGAGUGAAGCGGCAAGAGCUCAAAUUUGAAAGCUGGCCCCUCCGGGGUCCGCGUUGUAAUUUGCAGAGGAUGCUUCGGGCUCAGCCCCCGUCUAAGUGCCCUGGAACGGGCCGUCGGAGAGGGUGAGAAUCCCGUCUGGGACGGGGUGCCUGGGUCCAUGUGAAGCUCCUUCGACGAGUCGAGUUGUUUGGGAAUGCAGCUCUAAAUGGGUGGUAAAUUUCAUCUAAAGCUAAAUACUGGCCGGAGACCGAUAGCGCACAAGUAGAGUGAUCGAAAGAUGAAAAGCACUUUGAAAAGAGAGUUAAACAGCACGUGAAAUUGUUGAAAGGGAAGCGCUUGCGAUCAGACUCGCCUGCGGGGUUCAGCCGGCAUUCGUGCCGGUGUACUUCCCCGUGGGCGGGCCAGCGUCGGUUCGGGUGGCCGGUCAAAGGCCCCGGGAAUGUGUCGCCCUCCGGGGCGUCUUAUAGCCCGGGGUGCCAUGCGGCCUACCUGGACCGAGGAACGCGCUUCGGCUCGGACGCUGGCGUAAUGGUCGUAAGCGACCCGUCUUGAAACACGGACCAAGGAGUCUAACAUCUACGCGAGUGUUUGGGUGGCAAACCCAUACGCGCAGUGAAAGCGAACGGAGGUGGGAACCCUUCGGGGCGCACCAUCGACCGAUCCUGAUGUCUUCGGAUGGAUUUGAGUAAGAGCGUAGCUGUGGGGACCCGAAAGAUGGUGAACUAUGCCUGAAUAGGGCGAAGCCAGAGGAAACUCUGGUGGAGGCUCGCAGCGGUUCUGACGUGCAAAUCGAUCGUCAAAUUUGGGUAUAGGGGCGAAAGACUAAUCGAACCAUCUGGUAGCUGGUUCCUGCCGA
RNAcentral lists this ribosomal RNA (879 nucleotides) under Monascus purpureus. RNAcentral's name for it is "LSU rRNA". It matches the Rfam family "Eukaryotic large subunit ribosomal RNA", at positions 67 to 964 of the family's 3401-position model. The record is from RNAcentral. Lineage: Eukaryota; Fungi; Ascomycota; Eurotiomycetes; Eurotiales; Aspergillaceae.